RNA transcript from Zingiber officinale, 1174 nucleotides. RefSeq lists it as uncharacterized. Lineage: Eukaryota; Viridiplantae; Streptophyta; Magnoliopsida; Zingiberales; Zingiberaceae. The transcript is spliced from 4 exons. The record is from RefSeq and is a predicted model, not a curated record.
UCACUCAGUUCACGCGUUCCCCCGCUACCCCCUUCGAAUCCGGCGGCCAUUGUUCCAACCUGGGCCACGUGCCACCCCCACGCACCCCUCACCCUCGCCGUCCUCCAUCCACGCCGCUGUCCUGAGCCGACAAUCGCACUUGAUCGCUUCACGCUGGCCGUCCACGUACGAUUUGCCCCGAACCCUGCGAGUUCUCGCCCGAGUUGGAAGACGGCGAGCGCUGGCUUCCGGCCAACAUCCUCAACGACGUCGGAGUCCGCAGCCGCCCCUCUCCCCUGCCCUUCCCCGCUUCUUCCGACGGCCGCGAGUGCCUCCCACGCUUAGCCUACUUGCAAGCCCUCGCACGCGAGCUCGCAUCUCUCGGUCCCUUCCACCGGCACGACGUCUCAACUUCGCCCGUCUUUCCGCCGUCACCGCACUAUUUUGUGUUCGGCGUCCCGCCGGCCCGAUCGGUGAACAAUGCGGUCAGAUCCGGCGCAGUUCGAGACAGUUUCAUGGCCGCCGGCGUCGGAGGCGGGUGCGCCUCAUUAACCCCUAGCCUGAGAUCGGUUCAGAUGCGGGUGGGUUCCGAUCGCUUUCCUCCUCCGUUGCAAAGCCAUUGUUCGGCUUUCUGUGAAGAUAUAGACCUACGGAAGAGGCCAUUCGGAGCUAGUAAAACGGGGAUCAUGCAUCGCCCGGCCCCCUCAAUCCGCGGCCAGUUCGCUUCCAUUCCAACACCCGGUCCGGCGAGGGAGAACGCCGGCACAGGCGUGUUCAUUCCACGGGUCAAAAUAGAGAAGGUUAACGCAGCCCGAGAUGUGACAGGUUGCAGAGAACAAAGCGAGAAAGAGGCUUCGAGCAAUGGACCAGAGAAGGAGCGAGUGAAACAUAAGCCACUCCCACAUCCCAUAGAGCAUGGCCUGCCUCGGGAUUGGACCUAUUGAGACCCACCUCUCUGCUCCCCCUACUGUCAUAGCGGCAGGGCUACCGAUACCUUUUUUGUUUUCUGGCUGCCUCAGAGUGCAGUAGGAGAAGCAAACAGAGAGCGGGGAAAGUUUGAAAAUAUUGUAGUGCUGGAGACGUGACCGUGUUUUUGUUGGUUUGUAAAUACUAGCAGAGAAUAACAAAUUUUGUGUGUGUUGUCGUACGGUCUUAAUGAAAUUAAUGGGCUCAUUCGAACGUUUUGUUUGCCUCA